AUGCAAGUCGAGCGAGAAGACGUAGCAAUACGUUUGUAAAGCGGCGAACGGGUGAGGAAUACAUGGGUAACCUACCCUCGAGUGGGGAAUAACUAGCCGAAAGGUUAGCUAAUACCGCGUACGCUUCUUGGACUUCGGUUCAGGGAGGAAAGCGAUACCGUGGGUAUCGCGCUCUUGGAUGGGCUCAUGUCCUAUCAGCUUGUUGGUGAGGUAACGGCUCACCAAGGCUUCGACGGGUAGCUGGUCUGAGAGGACGAUCAGCCACACUGGCACUGCGACACGGGCCAGACUCCUACGGGAGGCAGCAGUAAGGAAUAUUGCGCAAUGGGCGAAAGCCUGACGCAGCGACGCCGCGUGGGGGAUGAAGGUCUUCGGAUUGUAAACCCCUUUCGGGAGGGAAGAUGGAAUGGGGUAACCCAUUCGGACGGUACCUCCAGAAGCAGCCACGGCUAACUUCGUGCCAGCAGCCGCGGUAAUACGAAGGUGGCAAAGCGUUAUUCGGAUUUACUGGGCGUACAGGGAGCGU
Molecule: ribosomal RNA, 526 nt
Filed under: uncultured soil bacterium
Lineage: Bacteria
Description: bacterial SSU rRNA
Rfam family: Bacterial small subunit ribosomal RNA
Source: RNAcentral